RNAcentral lists this ribosomal RNA (465 nucleotides) under uncultured bacterium. RNAcentral's name for it is "partial 16S ribosomal RNA". It matches the Rfam family "Bacterial small subunit ribosomal RNA", at positions 28 to 507 of the family's 1533-position model. The record is from RNAcentral.
GACGAACGCUGGCGGCGUGCUUAACACAUGCAAGUCGAACGGUAAGGCUCCAGCUUGCUGGGGUACACGAGUGGCGAACGGGUGAGUAACACGUGGGUGACCUGCCCUGCACUUCGGGAUAAGCCUGGGAAACUGGGUCUAAUACCGGAUAGGACCGCACCGUGAGGGUGUGGUGGAAAGUUUUUUCGGUGUGGGAUGGGCCCGCGGCCUAUCAGCUUGUUGGUGGGGUAAUGGCCUACCAAGGCGGCGACGGGUAGCCGGCCUGAGAGGGUGGACGGCCACAUUGGGACUGAGACACGGCCUAGACUCCUACGGGAGGCAGCAGUGGGGAAUAUUGCACAAUGGGCGGAAGCCUGAUGCAGCGACGCCGCGUGGGGGAUGACGGCCUUCGGGUUGUAAACUCCUUUCACCAUCGACGAAGGGUUUCUGACGGUAGAUGGAGAAGAAGCACCGGCUAACUACGUG